RNAcentral lists this ribosomal RNA (465 nucleotides) under Vreelandella stevensii. RNAcentral's name for it is "partial 16S ribosomal RNA". It matches the Rfam family "Bacterial small subunit ribosomal RNA", at positions 338 to 795 of the family's 1533-position model. Lineage: Bacteria; Pseudomonadati; Pseudomonadota; Gammaproteobacteria; Oceanospirillales; Halomonadaceae. The record is from RNAcentral.
CCUACGGGGUGCAGCAGUGGGGAAUAUUGGACAAUGGGCGAAAGCCUGAUCCAGCCAUGCCGCGUGUGUGAAGAAGGCCUUCGGGUUGUAAAGCACUUUCAGUGGGGAAGAAAGCCUUGGGGCUAAUACCCUCGAGGAAGGACAUCACCCACAGAAGAAGCACCGGCUAACUCCGUGCCAGCAGCCGCGGUAAUACGGAGGGUGCGAGCGUUAAUCGGAAUUACUGGGCGUAAAGCGCGCGUAGGCGGUCUGAUAAGCCGGUUGUGAAAGCCCCGGGCUCAACCUGGGAACGGCAUCCGGAACUGUCAGGCUAGAGUGCAGGAGAGGAAGGUAGAAUUCCCGGUGUAGCGGUGAAAUGCGUAGAGAUCGGGAGGAAUACCAGUGGCGAAGGCGGCCUUCCGGACUGACACUGACGCUGAGGUGCGAAAGCGUGGGUAGCAAACAGGAUUAGAUACCCCAGUAGUC